Molecule: ribosomal RNA, 393 nt
Filed under: uncultured bacterium
Lineage: Bacteria
Description: bacterial SSU rRNA
Rfam family: Bacterial small subunit ribosomal RNA
Source: RNAcentral
GUGUCAGCCGCCGCGGUAAUACGUAGGUGGCAAGCGUUGUCCGGAAUUACUGGGUGUAAAGGGCGUGUAGGCGGGUUGUCAAGUCAGAUGUGAAAUUCCGUGGCUCAACUGCGGAGCUGCAUCUGAAACUGAUGAUCUUGAGUACUGGAGAGGGAAGCGGAAUUCCUAGUGUAGCGGUGAAAUGCGUAGAUAUUAGGAGGAACACCAGUGGCGAAGGCGGCUUUCUGGACAGUAACUGACGCUGAGGCGCGAAAGCGUGGGGAGCGAACAGGAUUAGAUACCCUGGUAGUCCACGCCGUAAACGAUGGAUACUAGGUGUGAGGGGGAUUACCUCUUCGUGCCGCAGUUAACACAAUAAGUAUCCCACCUGGGGAGUACGGCCGCAAGGUUGAA